GUGCCAGCAGCCGCGGUAAGACAGAGGGUGCAAACGUUGUUCGGAAUUACUGGGCGUAAAGCGCGUGUAGGCGGCUUGGUAAGUUGGGUGUGAAAUCCCAGGGCUCAACCCUGGAAGUGCAUUCAAAACUGCUCGGCUAGAGUUCUGGAGAGGAAGGUGGAAUGCUUGGUGUAGAGGUGAAAUUCGUAGAUAUCAAGCGGAACACCGGUGGCGAAGGCGGCCUUCUGGACAGAAACUGACGCUGAGACGCGAAAGCGUGGGGAGCAAACAGGAUUAGAAACCCGAGUAGUCC
Molecule: ribosomal RNA, 292 nt
Filed under: uncultured bacterium
Lineage: Bacteria
Description: partial 16S ribosomal RNA
Rfam family: Bacterial small subunit ribosomal RNA
Source: RNAcentral